RNAcentral lists this small RNA (628 nucleotides) under Histoplasma ohiense. Its description in RNAcentral is "hypothetical lncRNA". Lineage: Eukaryota; Fungi; Ascomycota; Eurotiomycetes; Onygenales; Ajellomycetaceae. The record is from RNAcentral.
CUACUGAGAAGGAGAUAUGGAAACCGGUUUAUUGUUCAAAUUUAGUUAGGCCAAAGGUGUUCUGAUAUCUUUCCCUUCCUUAGCUUUGUUUUCCUUCAAGUGCUUAAUUGCCUGUAGCUUUGGGCCCUCUUCGCCUAUACCGCUAACCCCUCUUUCGAGCACCACGCCAAGUCGCAGAAUCCAUCCCUCGAUAAAAACCAAGUAAGAACCAAGUGACAUAAAUAGGCUCUUUGAGGUUAAUGUACAUGUACAUGUACAUGUACAUGCACAUAUAAACUAACUCAGGGACCCGGUACCAUGGGCCAUGAAUGCGAACACAAAAACGCAACAACGGAAACAGUUCACCUUAAAUAUUCAAGACGGCCAGCCCGGCCUAUUGCCACAGACCGCGUGUAGGGUGCUCGUUUGCUACCUCGCAGUGACAGCCCACAAAAUAUGGGCCCGUUAGUCUGACAUGCGUUUUGUUUAGUUCAGGUGUAUUGGCGACAUUGUGGUGUGGACAUGACGUUGUAGUGGGUUGGCCUACUUCGUCGGUACCCCAUUUGCUUCCUGUUAAGCUGGACGUGGUUGAUUUUAAUUCCAACGUUGUGUGGUGUAUUUAGAUGCAUGAUGAGAAAAUUGAUGGGGU